UGCGGAAUAUUGCACAAUGGAGGGAACUCUGAUGCAGCGACGCCGCGUGAGUGAUGAAGGAAUUCGUUUCGUAAAACUCUGUUCUAUGGGAAGAAAAGGACUGUACCAUAGGAGAAAGCUCCGGCUAAAUACGUGCCAGCAGCCGCGGUAAUACGUAUGGAGCGAGCGUUGUCCGGAAUUAUUGGGCGUAAAGGGUGCGCAGGCGGCUUUACAAGUUGGAUGUGAAAUAUUGUGGCUCAACCACAAACGUGCAUCCAAAACUGCAAAGCUUGAGUUAAGGAGAGGUAAGUGGAAUUCCUGGUGUAGCGGUGGAAUGCGUAGAUAUCAGGAGGAAUACCGGUGGCGAAGGCGACUUACUGGACUUAAACUGACGCUCAGGCACGAAAGCGUGGGGAGCAAACAGG
This 404-nucleotide ribosomal RNA is filed under the name Fusobacteriota bacterium. Its description in RNAcentral is "Fusobacteria bacterium partial 16S ribosomal RNA". It matches the Rfam family "Bacterial small subunit ribosomal RNA", at positions 355 to 776 of the family's 1533-position model. Lineage: Bacteria; Fusobacteriati; Fusobacteriota. The record is from RNAcentral.